GAUGAACGCUGGCGGCGUGCCUAAUACAUGCAAGUCGAGCGAACAGAUGAGGAGCUUGCUCCUCUGACGUUAGCGACGGACGGGUGAGUAACACGUGGGUAACCUACCUAUAAGACUGGGAUAACUUCGGGAAACCGGAGCUAAUACCGGAUAAUAUAUUGAACCGCAUGGUUCAAUAGUGAAAGACGGUUUUGCUGUCACUUAUAGAUGGAUCCGCGCCGCAUUAGCUAGUUGGUAAGGUAACGGCUUACCAAGGCAACGAUGCGUAGCCGACCUGAGAGGGUGAUCGGCCACACUGGAACUGAGACACGGUCCAGACUCCUACGGGAGGCAGCAGUAGGGAAUCUUCCGCAAUGGGCGAAAGCCUGACGGAGCAACGCCGCGUGAGUGAUGAAGGUCUUCGGAUCGUAAAACUCUGUUAUUAGGGAAGAACAAAUGUGUAAGUAACUAUGCACGUCUUGACGGUACCUAAUCAGAAAGCCACGGCUAACUACGUG
This 497-nucleotide ribosomal RNA is filed under the name uncultured bacterium. Its description in RNAcentral is "partial 16S ribosomal RNA". It matches the Rfam family "Bacterial small subunit ribosomal RNA", at positions 28 to 507 of the family's 1533-position model. The record is from RNAcentral.